Molecule: non-coding RNA, 27 nt
Filed under: Rattus norvegicus (Norway rat)
Lineage: Eukaryota; Metazoa; Chordata; Mammalia; Rodentia; Muridae
Source: RNAcentral
UCUUUAACAGAGUAGUUUCAAUAGAGG